Molecule: long non-coding RNA, 280 nt
Filed under: Gossypium barbadense (sea-island cotton)
Lineage: Eukaryota; Viridiplantae; Streptophyta; Magnoliopsida; Malvales; Malvaceae
Description: long non-coding RNA (GBAR_LNC021093)
Source: RNAcentral
CACAUUCACUCCAUGCAUCUUCUCUCUUUUCAGUUAGCAGAUAUAUUUUGUAGGUAUCUUUGUUGUCUUCACAAAUUGUGAUAGACAGAUGACGAUGACUAUCAUCGUUGAAACACCAUCAACCACUGACAGUUUCUUUUAGAAAAUGGACAGGUCUUCAUUGACUUCUUAACUUGUUUCUGUUUUGAAAGUUUCAGAAUACUAAAUGAUUUCAUGAAUCGGUUUGGACUCGUGUUGUUUUAAGUUUUAUAUGUUUUUUUCCUAUUGUUUAAUAAGUUUU